UUUCCCUCUACUACAUAUUGAACAUCAGUUACCCUGUAGAACUGGGGGCCACACUAGAAUUCUUGCAAAGGUGCAUCUUCGGGAUAAAUCCACAUAAAGGUACCAAGGUGCAAAAGAGAGAGAAAAAGCGAGUGUACUCUGUCAACCCCAAAGUAUUGAGUCUCGCAUCAAAAAUUGCUGCAUUUGCCUGGGGAGACUAACAGAUGCAGCCAUUCAGAAAAGUGACAUUUGUCUCCGCAGUACAGGAUAAACUUUUUGUACUGUAACGCAUGCCUUUGUUCCUUUAAAAAUCUGUCUUAUUCCCCCAGGACAUGUUCUGUAUUAUUAGUAUCCAGCCCCGACAGGGUAAUAUUUUAUUAUCAUUAUUAUUAUUUAUUUUUUUAAUUAAUUUAAUUAAUUAUUUUUAAUGUACACCUUUGUGUCCUGAAGCAUGCCUUUUGCUGGAAAUGUUAUUUAUUUCCAUCGUUUUAUUUUAAAAGCUUGCUAUAUAGUUAUAAAUAGCUUGGUUGACUUGUUUACAGCAACACCCUGGCUAUCAUAAUUUAAUGAGUUUAGUCUUCGUAAUUGUGUAUUUUAUUAUUUUGUAUAAUUUCAUAUUUUAUAACAUUGUUCACUGCACAAUGGUGGACCGGAAUAUGUAGCAGUAAAUGGACAAAAAUGAAUAAGAGUAGUUAUGCCUCCUAGAUUGUAAAUGCAAUGGAAUGUACAUUUGUUUUGAUGUUAAGAUAAAUACUUGACCUGAUGUCAAGUGCCCUUGACAAUGAAAUGUGAUUAAGAAUACAAAAGUGAUUUUCUGUUUUGUUGUAUUUGGUCAAGGUGCAA
Sinocyclocheilus grahami is the source of this 822-nucleotide long non-coding RNA. RefSeq lists it as uncharacterized. The record is from RefSeq and is a predicted model, not a curated record. The transcript is spliced from 3 exons. Lineage: Eukaryota; Metazoa; Chordata; Actinopteri; Cypriniformes; Cyprinidae.